This 249-nucleotide unclassified non-coding RNA is filed under the name Hevea brasiliensis (rubber tree). Lineage: Eukaryota; Viridiplantae; Streptophyta; Magnoliopsida; Malpighiales; Euphorbiaceae. The record is from RNAcentral.
AGCAGGGAUUAAUAAAUUCAAGGCACAAGGUAACCAGUCACAGAAUUCAUAAUGACAGUAUCUUUCAUUCUUCAUCACACAUUUCACACCAUGGGGAGUAGAUUUUGGUUUUAAUUGAAAAACCAAACUGAAGCGAUCUAAUUCAGUUAUUCAGUUCGAUAUCACUUAUCGUUUUAAAAAAUUUCAGUUUUUCAGUUCAAUUCAGUUAGUUACGCAGAAAACCUGAACUAACCAAACAGAAAUAUUAUA